CGUUGGCGGCGGAUGUGGGCGGAUCGCGGCGGCAGCUCCUCCCGGCCCGCCGCGGGCGGGUGUCCCUUGCAGCGGAAGCGGCGGCGGGAGCGGCCGCGUGGUGCGGGACGGGCCCGGGGGCAGGUCUCCGCUUGAGCCCGGGACGUUCCGGCCAGCCCAGAGGUGUGAUCCGGACACACCACCUGAUCCUGUCUGGGGCUGGGGUUGGAUCCAGCUGCUCCCAGCCUCCCAUCAGGCAUUUGGAAAACCGGGGCAUCCCUCCUGCACUCCCUGACCCAAUGGAAGGGGCUUCCCCAUAAACCUUGUCCACAACUUCCUGGGGAGCUGGGCAUGCACAGCACGGGGUGGCACCCACUCCUGGGGAGCUGCCAGCUGAGUCCCUGGGGCAGAACUGGGAACAGCUCUUGCUCCAGGGACAAGCUGUGGGAUGGCUCACAUCCCACUGAUCCUGGGAGCUCUUGGAUCUACCCUGCACCCCUGGAAAGCUUUCCUUUGCAGUCAGCCCCGCUUGAUUUUGGGUGUUUGUGCUUCAUGUGCACUCCACCCACACCCUGGGGUGCCUUGGGAUCCACCUACACUCUGAGGGGCUCUGGGGUGCCCUGGCUUGUGCUGGGGAUGCGAGGGAAGCAGAGGGUCCUUGGGGAAAGUGCCCCCGGUGAGAAAUGGGGAACAGGAGCUUGUGUGGCUGUGCCCAGAAAGCUGGGAGGGGUCUUGGGAAAGGGGUGAUGGUACCAAGAGACCAGUAGAACCCUUCCAGGGAGGAAACAGGUUGGACAUUCCAUAGGGAAGCUGGGCCCUGGCACCAGCGCAUCAGGUGCGGAGGGUGAAGGAAGCAGGCAGAGCUGCUCUUCUAUGGAUCCUGCUGCAUGGGAUGUCACAGUGGCCAUCCCAUGGGAUCAGCACUGGGGAAUAGCAGCUGGGGAGAGGAGUCAGGGCCAGUGCUGCUCCUUUGGGCUUCCCUUGUCUCCCUCCUGGGACAGGAGUAGGAUCUGGAAGGGAUGUGGAGCUCCAGCUCUGCUCCAUGCCUUGCACAGCUGGGAAUUGCAGUACAGGUGCUUCACUGCCCUUGGAAUCACCUUCUCUUGUUACCACAUGAGCCACAUGGCUCCUCCUCCAGCCCCUCUCUGUCCCUUGCCAGCUGCUCCUCUUUGGCUUUCAGCAUGUGGCACUGGAAUUUCAGCUCUGCCUUUCCCAGGGAUGGGCUGGGAAACCCAGUUAUGUCCCCUGCCCUGUCCUGGACACUCUCGUGACAUCCCAGGGUUUGGGAUCCUCAAACUGAGAUCUUGCCCCCCCCCCCACCUGGGGUUUUGGCCUCUCAAACUGAAGGUUGGGAUCCUCAGACUGGGGGUUGGGACCGUCAACCUCUUGUCUUGAGAGCUCAUUCCCCAGGCACCAGUUUCCACCCUAAACUGAGGGAUUUCUGUUUUUCAUUCCAGGUUCUCAGGGAGGAGCUGGGGGUGUCUGCAAAAGGCCGAUCCUGGUCCCCACCAGCAGAACUGGCGCUGGUUUGGAGUAGGGGGGUCAAUGGGUCGGUGAUCACAACCCCCCGUUUUGUUGGUUAUAAAGCGGCUGGUUUUGCGCUCGA
Long non-coding RNA from Corvus hawaiiensis (hawaiian crow), 1585 nucleotides. RefSeq lists it as uncharacterized. The transcript is spliced from 2 exons. Lineage: Eukaryota; Metazoa; Chordata; Aves; Passeriformes; Corvidae. The record is from RefSeq and is a predicted model, not a curated record.